Molecule: ribosomal RNA, 253 nt
Filed under: uncultured bacterium
Lineage: Bacteria
Description: partial 16S ribosomal RNA
Rfam family: Bacterial small subunit ribosomal RNA
Source: RNAcentral
UACGAAGGGGGCGAGCGUUGUUCGGAUUUACUGGGCGUAAAGGGCGCGCAGGCGGCAGACCAAGUCAGGCGUGAAAGCCCCGGGCUUAACCUGGGAGGUGCGUCUGGGACUGGUAUGCUAGAGUUCGGGAGAGGAGAGUGGAAUUCCCAGUGUAGAGGUGAAAUUCGUAGAUAUUAGGAAGAACACCGGUGGCGAAGGCGGCCCACUGGAUCGGUACAGACGCUGAGGUGCGAAAGCGUGGGGAGCAAACAGG